GGCGGCAUGGCCGAGCGGUAAGGCGGUGGACUGCAAAUCCUCGUUCCCCAGUUCGAAUCUUGGGUGUCGCCUGAUCACCAAA
RNAcentral lists this transfer RNA (82 nucleotides) under Viviania marifolia. RNAcentral's name for it is "tRNA-Cys". The stretch from base 1 to 72 matches the Rfam family "tRNA". From Rfam's summary of the family: Transfer RNA (tRNA) molecules are approximately 80 nucleotides in length. The record is from RNAcentral. Lineage: Eukaryota; Viridiplantae; Streptophyta; Magnoliopsida; Geraniales; Francoaceae.